CCUACGGGGGGCAGCAGUGGGGAAUAUUGGACAAUGGGGGGAACCCUGAUCCAGCCAUGCCGCGUGUGUGAAGAAGGCCCUCGGGUUGUAAAGCACUUUCAGUGAGGAAGAACGCCUGGUGGUUAAUACCCAUCAGGAAAGACAUCACUCACAGAAGAAGCACCGGCUAACUCCGUACCAGCAGCCGCGGUAAUACGGAGGGUGCGAGCGUUAAUCGGAAUUACUGGGCGUAAAGCGCGCGUAGGUGGCUUGAUAAGCCGGUUGUGAAAGCCCCGGGCUCAACCUGGGAACGGCAUCCGGAACUGUCAAGCUAGAGUGCAGGAGAGGAAGGUAGAAUUCCCGGUGUAGCGGUUAAAUGCGUAGAGAUCGGGAGGAAUACCAGUGGCGAAGGCGGCCUUCUGGACUGACACUGACACUGAGGUGCGAAAGCGUGGGUAGCAAACAGGAUUAGAUACCCGAGUAGUC
Molecule: ribosomal RNA, 465 nt
Filed under: Vreelandella stevensii
Lineage: Bacteria; Pseudomonadati; Pseudomonadota; Gammaproteobacteria; Oceanospirillales; Halomonadaceae
Description: partial 16S ribosomal RNA
Rfam family: Bacterial small subunit ribosomal RNA
Source: RNAcentral